RNAcentral lists this unclassified non-coding RNA (22 nucleotides) under Mus musculus (house mouse). RNAcentral's name for it is "oocyte_clustered_small_RNA600". Lineage: Eukaryota; Metazoa; Chordata; Mammalia; Rodentia; Muridae. The record is from RNAcentral.
AAUGAGACAGCAUUGGAGAUAG